RNAcentral lists this long non-coding RNA (879 nucleotides) under Vulpes vulpes (red fox). Its description in RNAcentral is "lncRNA (ENSVVUG00000006798.1)". Lineage: Eukaryota; Metazoa; Chordata; Mammalia; Carnivora; Canidae. The record is from RNAcentral.
GAUGUCACCAUGUUCUUAUACUAUCGGAAAUGGGAAAUGGGUAAUUUUUUCCCUUUAUACUGAGAAUACCCCUAGAAGGGAGUAUAACCUAAGGAAGGAUUGGAGAAAAAAAGCAGCAGAACCCUUUGUCAUGAUUGUUCACAGAAUGUGUGCUAAAUGUUCCCAUUGUGUUUUUCAGAACAACCUUCUUACCCCAGAGCCCAGUUCAGGGAGUCAUUGUGCUUUCCCAGAAAGAUCCUGAUUCUCUGGGUUUAAACCUGAGCUUUGUGACUUUCCAGUUGAGUAAGAUUCAAGAAGGAAGAAGGGAAGGGCAUGAUGGGAAUGAGAAGACGUGUUUUCUUCUGGAAGGACCUCGGGGAGGCCAUGUGGAUGGAAACGUGCUGUCAAGAGGUGGUCAAGCACAGGGUCUGGAGGGAGACUACCCACAUCUGAUGGCCCACCAGUGCCUAUCUUUGAGAUUCUGGUUCACCAAUUCACUCCCUGGGCCCGUGCACGUAUGUGUGCAUGUAUAUGUACAUGAUGAUGCACACACAAUCCCCAACCAUGAAAGAGGAGCAGUGAUAGUGCUCAUCUCCUGGUGUUACAGUGAAGAGUCAGUGAGACAGUGCAUGGCUAGUACGGCAGGCUUCCUGACACAUAACUCACACUGAUUAAAAUGACAGCUGUCUUGGGCACCUGUGUGGCUCAGGUGGUUAAGUGGCUGCCUUUGGCUCAGGUCGUGGUCCCGGGAUCGAGCCCCUCGACUCCCUGCUCAGCAAGAGUCUGCUUCUCCCUCUCCCUCUGCCUGCUGCUCCCCCCACAUGUGCUCUCUCUCUCUCUCUCUCUCUCUCUCUAUGUGUGCCAAAUAAACAAAUAAAAUCUAAAAAAAAAAAAUAAAAA